Molecule: long non-coding RNA, 3265 nt
Organism: Tympanuchus pallidicinctus (lesser prairie-chicken)
Lineage: Eukaryota; Metazoa; Chordata; Aves; Galliformes; Phasianidae
Exons: 6
Source: RefSeq, a predicted model, not a curated record
UCCACAAGACAUUGGAAAGAUUUUAUAAUGCAUAUAAAUAGAAUUUAGUAAGGUUUUGGCAGAUUUGUGACCCAUAUUAAUUUGAAUAAUUUACAGUGCCUCCUAAUGCAUAGUCAAGCUUGGUAGUCUUGGGUUCAGGUAAAGAGUCCUGAAUAUAUUUCUCUGAUACUGACCUCAGGCAGCAUGGUUUCUUUGACAAAAAUGUGUUUUCUCCAGUAGCUGUGGGACAAAACAACAAAUCUUGACCAUCUGAUCUACUUCUAUCUGAUCUCAGGUAAUUCACACUCUUAAAGUGGACAGCAAAUAUAAAACGUGUUUGAAGAGGUUUUUUAAAGUAAUAAGCUCAUAUAGCCUUGUAACAGCAAGGCUUAUUAGUCAGCGUAGUAUUUUCCCAGUAUAUUAGAACAGGCAUGUUAUUUCUAGAAAAACAUUCAGAAAGAACAGUAUGUUAUAGGCACUCAUUUCUGCACCUUCUGCCCUUGAUCUACUCUGAAUGUCUCUAUAGCUGAUGUUGAAAACAGAGACCAAGACUUCCAAAAGUUAUGAUGUGAGGAAAAUUGAUAACUGGAUAAAUGCACAUUUUAAAAUUGCUACCAAUAAAAUGAUAAAUGUGGAAAGUAUGUUCAUCACCGUGGAUGCAAAAACAAGCAUUUUUUUUGAUAAAGUAGUAAACAUAGAUUCCACGGUAACGUAAUGACUACUGCUUGUCCUGGGUUAACACCCAAGCAGUUCUGAAGAGUUAUUGAAGUGAAAAAAUCUGGAUGAAAUAUCACUCUCUUAAAAACACUGUAUUCUCCUAUAGAUAAAUUGAAUCUCAUUUUAUAAUUGCUCAUUGCUAAUCAGCACUCCUCACUUGGGGAAAAGGGAGUGCCUUUGUCUAUAUAUGGGAAAAGGAAGGAAAUUAAUGCACCUGUAGAGAAUGAUAAUCCUGAGACUGUGCACUGUAUGUGCAAUAAUCAGGAGGUGUUGGGUCACUCCAGAGUUUUAGAAAACUAGGGGACACUAGUAAGAAAUUUGACCAGAAAGUACUAGAAAUAUCAAGCCACAGAAAGCAGUCUUUGGAACCAAGUUUUUUUCCUCUCAACCAUCCCUUCAAAGUCUGUGUUUUUCCAAUAAAUUUUUGUAAGGCUAAGGGACAAUAAACAACGAUUCCUCUGUGGUGAUUAUUCUCCUCCCUGAUCUUGAGGGGAUGCUGGUUUGAAAGAGCCCUGUAUUUUUCUGUUUCUAUAGUUUAUUUACUGCCACUUCAACUGGUACUCACAAGAAGGCUGUAUGACUGUGGUAGCACAAGAAACAGUUCCUCCAGGGGAUGGAUGAACUCCCUGAUAACAUCAUGCAGGAAACUUUAUGAAGCCUUUCAACCAGCCAGGUCUACACUGAAGCUGUUAUGUAAGGAGAAAUAUCUGAGAGUAGAAGUCCUGUGAAACUGUAACUUGUGUCUGGGCUGCUGCACUUCAAAAGCAUGGGCAGGAAGAAAAGGUUCCAUUUUAAUUUUCUAUUUUUGCCUUGAGAGCUGGUAUUUGUACUAACUGUAUCGAUGUAUAGCCAAGCUAUAUUCUUGGACUCAGUUUUCCCAAUGGACCAGCUUCCCCCUUUGCAGCAUCAGUCUUGCAGCAGGAUCUUCGCAAGCCAGCUGCCCACGCAACCCCGUUGUCAUGUGGGCUGUAGAGUCAGCUUGUCUGAAAUCUCACAAAGUAAUUACCAGGGAACGUCUUAGGAGUGCAAAUAUAUCUGCUCAGCAUUCCUGGGAGGUUUGUGCAGGAGUUUAAGCUGAUACAGAAGACUAUUAAAAUGAAAUGCAGUAUAAUGGCAGUAUGAAAAGACUGGAAAUUUUGCAAGUGAUGGAGCAGAAACGCCAUUCAUCAUCUCAGAGUGGAGACUGUAGGCCGGGUUGGAUGUUCAGCAGCAAGCCCUCUUGUGCACUCUGUAGGGCCAUGGAAGUUGGUUGUUCCUGAAGACUGUUUAAAGACAUCUUUUCUGAGAAAUAUUUGCAUGACUUCAGAUUUGGGAACAAAGGUACAUCCAGACAAUAAAUACCACUAGCGUAUUACAGGCAGCUUCUGUUGCACAUACCUGAAACAGAUUUCUUCGUGGCAUCGGUGAUUUUCUAGAGAUGUGUCUCAGUGUGUUUGAAGUGAAUGUUCAACAGGUUUUGAAUGAGGAAAAAAAAAGUGUCAGGGGAGGUUAGUAUGUGCUGUAAGAAUAUCUGUUUCGUAACAGUUGUGGUUGUCACAAUAACAUGAUUAACGUGUUCUUCAUUGCCAGACGCUCUCUCAGUUCUUCAUAUGGUGACAAAGAUGAGUAGGGAGAAAGCUUCAUCCUUCAGAAAAGCUGAGAAUUUAAACCAUUCCUAUUGCCUAGUUGUAGGCAGUUGACUGAAUCACGAGUGUGGUCUGGCCACUAGUGCUUUCCUUAGCAAUGAUUUUUAAUGUGCCAGACUCGCUUUCCCCUUAGCACAGUCCCGUUUCUUUCAAUGAUCAAAAGAAAUAGAGGGCUACCUUUUUUCCUUUAGCAAAAUUUUUUAGUCUGUGGGCACUGAGUAAUUCAUACAAGUUAUGCAGUUCAUAGAAGAUAAGGCAUUACUUUUGUUCCAAGUUCCCCAAAAUACACAUUAAUGUUAAUGUCUUUCAGUCUGCCCUGUCGCUGCCACCCAAGCACUUAUAAAUCACUUUCAAUUAUACAUAUUUUUAAACUUAGCUUGAUUUUGGACAAAGCUACAGUGAAAGGCUUUGUAAGACAUGCUUAAAAUAAGCCAGCACUAUUGGUUAUCCUCCACAGAUUUUCUCUUCUGUUGAGCCUCUGCUCUGACUUCUGCCUGAUUUGGUCAGUAUCGAUUUUGUCUUCUCAAAAUGCUCUUGGUUACUUUUCACAGCCAUCCAUCUUGCCCGUCAGAUGUUGUUUAUCUGGGGUGACAACUGCUUACCCAUUAAUUUGCAAAGUCAUUUAGAUGCAUGGUUUUUUGUCAGACUGUCUAUUUUUAAAGAGGCCUGAACACUGCUGGGUUAAGUUACAUUCCUAGGUGUGCUUUUUUGGAUAUCUGUUAGUGUCAAUGGUUUACGGGCUGGUUCAGCCCGCUUCCGUGACUAAUGGGGCAGAGGGAUUUUGCAUAAGCCGCACCUCUGGAAAAAGAAAACAGGGGACCCCAAAAUAGUGAAAAACAGUGGCAACGAUCUGAGGAGAACAAACUAAUUUACUAAAUAUAGUAUCGGAAUGCAAGAUAACACACUACAAUAUAACUAGAAUUAAAGCUAGUAAAUCAAAUAUA